UGGGGAAUUUUGGACAAUGGGCGCAAGCCUGAUCCAGCCAUGCCGCGUGCGGGAAGAAGGCCUUCGGGUUGUAAACCGCUUUUGUCAGGGAAGAAAUCUUCUGAGUUAAUACCUCGGGAGGAUGACGGUACCUGAAGAAUAAGCACCGGCUAACUACGUGCCAGCAGCCGCGGUAAUACGUAGGGUGCAAGCGUUAAUCGGAAUUACUGGGCGUAAAGCGUGCGCAGGCGGUUUUGUAAGACAGAGGUGAAAUCCCCGGGCUCAACCUGGGAACUGCCUUUGUGACUGCAAGGCUUGAGUGCGGCAGAGGGGGGAUGGAAUUCCGCGUGUAGCAGUGAGAUGCGUAGAUAUGCGGAGGAACACCGAUGGCGAAGGCAAUCCCCUGGGCCUGCACUGACGCUCAUGCACGAAAGCGUGGGGAGCAAACAGGAUUAGAUACCCUGGUAGUCCACGCCCUAAACGAUGUCAACUGGUUGUUGGGAAGGUUCCUUCUCAGUAACGUAGCUAACGCGUGAAGUUGACCGCCUGGGGAGUACGGCCGCAAGGUUGAAACUUAAAUGAAUUGAC
This 567-nucleotide ribosomal RNA is filed under the name uncultured bacterium. Its description in RNAcentral is "partial 16S ribosomal RNA". It matches the Rfam family "Bacterial small subunit ribosomal RNA", at positions 355 to 914 of the family's 1533-position model. The record is from RNAcentral.